GUAACGGCGAGCGAACCGCGCAAAGCCCAACUUGAAAAUCUCCCUUGGAGAAUUGUAGUCUAUAGAAGUACCCUCUGCAACGGGCUGAGCUAAAGUCUCCUGGAAAGGGGCGUCAGAGAGGUGAGAACCCCGUAAGCUCACGCUUAGUUGCCUCACGAGGUGCUUUCAAAGAGUCGGGUUGCUUGGGAAUGCAGCCCAAAUUUGGUGGUAAAUCCCAUCUAAGGCUAAAUAUUGGCGAGAGACCGAUAGCGAACAAGUACCGUGAGGGAAAGAUGAAAAGAACUUUGAAAAGAGAGUUAAAAAGUGCUUGAAAUUGUUGAGGGGGAAGCGUUUGAAUGCUAGGGUGCGCCUAGGCUUAUGGGUCCUUAACGGGGCUCUGUAUGUGCUAGGUGCUGGCCAGCAUGGGUUAGGCUAGUGGGAUAAAAGCUGGGGUUGAUACCCGGUCUAUGCCACUGGCUUGACCAAGGCGUGAAGACUGCCCUUGUCCUUCGGGAACUGCAGUCUCAAGAUGCUGGCAAAAGGCUUUCAACCGACCCGUCUUGAAACACGGACCAAGGAGUCUAACAUGUAUGCGAGUUGGUGGGUGGAAAACCCAUGAAGCGUAAGGAAACUGACUGGUGGGAUGGCCUGUGCCUGCACCUCGACCGACCAUGCGUUUCUGCAAAAGGUUUGAGUGCGAGCAUACCUGUUGGGACCCGAAAGAUGGUGAACUAUGCCUGAGCAGGGUGAAGCCAGGUGAAAACCUGGUGGAGGCUCGUAGAUGUGCUGACGUGCAAAUCGCUUUUCGGACUUGGGUAUAGGGGCGAAAGACUAAUCGAACCAUCUAGUAGCUGGUUUCCUCCGAAGUUUCCCCCAGGAUAGCUGGAGCUUAUUCGGAGUACGGUCAGGAAAGCGAAUGAUUAGAGGUUCGGGGGAUGUAACAUCCUUCACCUAUUCUCAAACUUUAAAUAGGCCGGACGUCCAGGUUGCUUGAUUGAACCUGUGGCAUUCUAUCCGAGCUCCAAGUGGGCCAUUUUUGGUAAGCAGAACUGGCGAUGCGGGAUGAACCGAUAGUCGAGUUAAGGUGCCAAACUACGCGCUAACCUAGAUCCCACAAAGGGUGUUGAUUGAUAUAGACAGCAGGACGGUGGUCAUGGAAGUCGA
Molecule: ribosomal RNA, 1143 nt
Filed under: Chlorella variabilis
Lineage: Eukaryota; Viridiplantae; Chlorophyta; Trebouxiophyceae; Chlorellales; Chlorellaceae
Description: LSU rRNA
Rfam family: Eukaryotic large subunit ribosomal RNA
Source: RNAcentral